UACAGAGGUCUCAAGCGUUGUUCGGAUUCAUUGGGCGUAAAGGGUGCGUAGGCGGCGUCGUAAGUCGGGUGUGAAAUCUCGGGGCUCAACUCCGAAAUUGCAUUCGAUACUGCGGUGCUUGAGGACUGGAGAGGAGACUGGAAUUUACGGUGUAGCGGUGAAAUGCGUAGAUAUCGUAAGGAAGACCAGUGGCGAAGGCGGGUCUCUGGACAGUUCCUGACGCUGAGGCACGAAGGUCAGGGGAGCAAACGGG
This 253-nucleotide ribosomal RNA is filed under the name uncultured bacterium. Its description in RNAcentral is "partial 16S ribosomal RNA". It matches the Rfam family "Bacterial small subunit ribosomal RNA", at positions 524 to 776 of the family's 1533-position model. The record is from RNAcentral.